RNAcentral lists this ribosomal RNA (253 nucleotides) under uncultured bacterium. RNAcentral describes it as "partial 16S ribosomal RNA". It matches the Rfam family "Bacterial small subunit ribosomal RNA", at positions 524 to 776 of the family's 1533-position model. The record is from RNAcentral.
UACGGGGGGGGCAAGCGUUGUUCGGAAUUACUGGGCGUAAAGGGCUUGUAGGUGGCCAACUAAGUCAGACGUGAAAUCCCUCAGCUUAACUGGGGAACUGCGUCUGAUACUGGAUGGCUUGAGUUUGGGAGAGGGAUGCGGAAUUCCAGGUGUAGCGGUGAAAUGCGUAGAUAUCUGGAGGAACACCGGUGGCGAAGGCGGGUCUCUGGGCCGUAACUGACGCUGAGGAGCGAAAGCAUGGGGAGCGAACAGG